UCUGGAAGGAGAGAAGAGGUUACAAUGCCAGUAUUCGAGGGACAAUGAAGUGUGUGGGAACAAGGAGGGCUCUGAAAGUAGAGGAAUGCUGAUAGUGAGAUGUUGGUGCAUUCAUUUUAUUGUAGCCCGAACAACUGUAUAUUCACCCAUGGACAUGAUGUUACCACUCAUUCAAUCUCAAAUCUAACUAAAGCUUUUUCCAAGUGAUAUUGCGUUCUUCAAUUGGUAAAUUAUGGACCUUUGGUACUAAAUUUUCACAUCAGGAAUCUUCUCCUCUGGACCUUUGGCUUUGACGUCAACCAUAUUGAAAUAUAUAUGUAUUUGAAACUGAAGCUGGAUGAUUCCAAAGGCUGAGCACAAUUUUCUUUCACUUUGACCUAUCAGUCAGGGAUCACUGUGCAAGUAAAUUUAAACUCUGAUGAAUCCAUGCUUAAUAUGCGACCGUAUGUCAUUGCAGGACAUAUGCAUCUUUGCUCAAUUUUCCCUAUUCAUGCGCUACACAUUGAAACAUCAUGCCCUUUCAGGGAAAACAUUAAUAAAUGAGGGGUGGAGUUAUUGAAGAAUGUAUUGGCCUUGGAAAGUAUGCUAUGAAACUAAGCUCUGUAGCUUUCAGGAGCAUGUGGCGCUGUAAUACAGAGGUACAGCUUGUAGAUUUC
Molecule: long non-coding RNA, 656 nt
Organism: Lycium ferocissimum
Lineage: Eukaryota; Viridiplantae; Streptophyta; Magnoliopsida; Solanales; Solanaceae
Exons: 3
Source: RefSeq, a predicted model, not a curated record